ACCCGCUGAACUUAAGCAUAUCAAUAAGCGGAGGAAAAGAAACCAACAGGGAUUGCCUUAGUAACGGCGAGUGAAGCGGCAACAGCUCAAAUUUGAAAGCUGGCCCUUUUAGGGUCCGCAUUGUAAUUUGUAGAGGAUGAUUCGGCGAGGGCUCCUGCCUAAGUCCCCUGGAACGGGGCGUCAUAGAGGGUGAGAAUCCCGUAUGCAGUAGGUUGCCUUAGCCAUGUGAAUCUCCUUCGACGAGUCGAGUUGUUUGGGAAUGCAGCUCUAAAUGGGAGGUAAAUUUCUUCUAAAGCUAAAUACCGGCCAGAGACCGAUAGCGCACAAGUAGAGUGAUCGAAAGAUGAAAAGCACUUUGGAAAGAGAGUUAAAAAGUACGUGAAAUUGUUGAAAGGGAAGCGCUUGCAACCAGACUUGUCCGCAGUUGCUCAGCCGGUCUCCUGACCGGCGUACUCUUCUGCGGCCAGGCCAGCAUCAGUUCGGGCGGUCGGAUAAAGGCCUCGGGAAUGUAGCUCCUCUCGGGGAGUGUUAUAGCCCGGGGUGGAAUGCGGCCAGCCUGGACUGAGGAACUCGCUUCGGCAAGGAUGCUGGCGUAAUGGUUGUAAGCGGCCCGUCUUGAAACACGGACCAAGGAGUCUAACAUCUAUGCGAGUGUUCGGGUGUCAAACCCGUACGCGUAAUGAAAGUGAACGGAGGUGGGAACCCGCAAGGGUGCACCAUCGGCCGAUCCUGAUGUCUUCGGAUGGAUUUGAGCAAGAGCAUAGCUGUUGGGACCCGAAAGAUGGUGAACUAUGCCUGAAUAGGGUGAAGCCAGAGGAAACUCUGGUGGAGGCUCGCAGCGGUUCUGACGUGCAAAUCGAUCGUCAAAUUUGGGUAUAGGGGCGAAAGACUAAUCGAACCAUCUAGUAGCUGCUUCAAAGGGAGUCCU
This 928-nucleotide ribosomal RNA is filed under the name Lasiodiplodia caatinguensis. RNAcentral's name for it is "partial large subunit ribosomal RNA". It matches the Rfam family "Eukaryotic large subunit ribosomal RNA", at positions 23 to 969 of the family's 3401-position model. The record is from RNAcentral. Lineage: Eukaryota; Fungi; Ascomycota; Dothideomycetes; Botryosphaeriales; Botryosphaeriaceae.